CAGCAGCCGCGGUAAUACGUAGGUGGCAAGCGUUGUCCGGAAUUAUUGGGCGUAAAGCGCGCGCAGGCGGUUUCUUAAGUCUGAUGUGAAAGCCCACGGCUCAACCGUGGAGGGUCAUUGGAAACUGGGAGACUUGAGUGCAGAAGAGGAGAGUGGAAUUCCACGUGUAGCGGUGAAAUGCGUAGAGAUGUGGAGGAACACCAGUGGCGAAGGCGGCUCACUGGACCAUUACUGACGCUGAGGUGCGAAAGCGUGGGGAGCAAACAGGAUUAGAUACCCCCGUAGUCCCUGUCUCUUAUAC
This 301-nucleotide ribosomal RNA is filed under the name uncultured bacterium. Its description in RNAcentral is "partial 16S ribosomal RNA". It matches the Rfam family "Bacterial small subunit ribosomal RNA", at positions 509 to 807 of the family's 1533-position model. The record is from RNAcentral.